RNAcentral lists this transfer RNA (58 nucleotides) under Bos taurus (domestic cattle). It matches the Rfam family "tRNA", at positions 8 to 63 of the family's 71-position model. Rfam says of the family: Transfer RNA (tRNA) molecules are approximately 80 nucleotides in length. Their secondary structure includes four short double-helical elements and three loops (D, anti-codon, and T loops). The record is from Rfam by way of RNAcentral. RNAcentral also lists the same sequence under 3 other names. Lineage: Eukaryota; Metazoa; Chordata; Mammalia; Artiodactyla; Bovidae.
UAGCUCAGAUGGUAAAAGUGUCUACCUGCAAUGUGGGAGACUCAGGUUCAAUUCCUGA